GUUUGAUCAUGGCUCAGAUUGAACGCUGGCGGCAGGCUUAACACAUGCAAGUCGAGCGGGGGAAGGUAGCUUGCUACUGGACCUAGCGGCGGACGGGUGAGUAAUGCUUAGGAAUCUGCCUAUUAGUGGGGGACAACAUCUCGAAAGGGAUGCUAAUACCGCAUACGUCCUACGGGAGAAAGCAGGGGAUCUUCGGACCUUGCGCUAAUAGAUGAGCCUAAGUCGGAUUAGCUAGUUGGUGGGGUAAAGGCCUACCAAGGCGACGAUCUGUAGCGGGUCUGAGAGGAUGAUCCGCCACACUGGGACUGAGACACGGCCCAGACUCCUACGGGAGGCAGCAGUGGGGAAUAUUGGACAAUGGGGGGAACCCUGAUCCAGCCAUGCCGCGUGUGUGAAGAAGGCCUUAUGGUUGUAAAGCACUUUAAGCGAGGAGGAGGCUACUUUAGUUAAUACCUAGAGAUAGUGGACGUUACUCGCAGAAUAAGCACCGGCUAACUCUGUGCCAGCAGCCGCGGUAAUACAGAGGGUGCGAGCGUUAAUCGGAUUUACUGGGCGUAAAGCGUGCGUAGGCGGCUUAUUAAGUCGGAUGUGAAAUCCCCGAGCUUAACUUGGGAAUUGCAUUCGAUACUGGUGAGCUAGAGUAUGGGAGAGGAUGGUAGAAUUCCAGGUGUAGCGGUGAAAUGCGUAGAGAUCUGGAGGAAUACCGAUGGCGAAGGCAGCCAUCUGGCCUAAUACUGACGCUGAGGUACGAAAGCAUGGGGAGCAAACAGGAUUAGAUACCCUGGUAGUCCAUGCCGUAAACGAUGUCUACUAGCCGUUGGGGCCUUUGAGGCUUUAGUGGCGCAGCUAACGCGAU
RNAcentral lists this ribosomal RNA (856 nucleotides) under Acinetobacter baumannii. RNAcentral describes it as "bacterial SSU rRNA". It matches the Rfam family "Bacterial small subunit ribosomal RNA", at positions 11 to 861 of the family's 1533-position model. The record is from RNAcentral. Lineage: Bacteria; Pseudomonadati; Pseudomonadota; Gammaproteobacteria; Moraxellales; Moraxellaceae.